CCUACGGGGGGCAGCAGUGGGGAAUAUUGCACAAUGGGGGAAACCCUGAUGCAGCGACGCCGCGUGAGUGAAGAAGUAUUUCGGUAUGUAAAGCUCUAUCAUCAGGGAAGAAAAUGACGGUCCCUUAUUAAGAAGCCCCGGCUAACCACGUGCCAGCAGCCGCGGUCAUACGUAGGGGGCAAGCGUUAUCCGGAUUUACUGGGUGUAAAGGGAGCGGAGACGGCAGCACAAGUCUGGAGUGAAAUGCCGGGGCUUAACCCCGGAACUGCUUUGGAACCUGUGCAGCUAGAGGGCAGGAGAGGUAAGUGGAAUUCCUAGUGUAGCGGUGAAAUGGGUAGAUAUUAGGAGGAAAACCAGUGGCGAAGGCGGCUUACUGGACUGUAACUGACGUUGAGGCUCGAAAGCGUGGGGAGCAAACAGGAUUAGAUACCCAGUAGUC
Molecule: ribosomal RNA, 439 nt
Filed under: uncultured bacterium
Lineage: Bacteria
Description: partial 16S ribosomal RNA
Rfam family: Bacterial small subunit ribosomal RNA
Source: RNAcentral